This is a long non-coding RNA of Oncorhynchus tshawytscha (Chinook salmon), 892 nucleotides long. Lineage: Eukaryota; Metazoa; Chordata; Actinopteri; Salmoniformes; Salmonidae. The record is from Ensembl.
GGAGGAUCAUAGACUACUGGAGAACGGUAGAGAGGAGGAUCACAGACUACUGGAGAACAGUAGAGAGGAGGAUCACAGACUACUGGAGAACAGUAGAGAGGAGGAUCAUAGACUACUGGAGAACGGUAGAGAGGAGGAUCAUAGACUACUGGAGAACGGUAGAGAGGAGGAUCAUAGACUACUGGAGAACGGUAGAGAGGAGAACCACAGACUACUGGAGAAUGGUAGAGAGGAGAACCAUAAACUACUGGAGAACGGUAGAGAGGAGGAUCAUAGACUACUGGAGAAUGGUAGAGAGGAGGAUCAUAGACUACUGGAGAACGGUAGAGAGGAGAACCACAGACUACUGGAGAAUGGUAGAGAGGAGAACCAUAAACUACUGGAGAACGGUAGAGAGGAGGAUCAUAGACUACUGGAGAACGGUAGAGAGGAGAACCACAGACUACUGGAGAAUGGUAGAGAGGAGAACCAUAAACUACUGGAGAAUGGUAGAGAGGAGGAUCAUAGACUACUGGAGAAUGGUAGAGAGGAGGAUCAUAGACUACUGGAGAAUGGUAGAGAGGAGGAUCACAGACUACUGGAGAAUGGUAGAGAGGAGGAUCACAGACUACUGGAGAACGGUAGAGAGGAGAACCACAGACUACUGGAGAAUGGUAGAGAGGAGAACCAUAAACUACUGGAGAACGGUAGAGAGGGGGAUCAUAGACUACUGGAGAAUGGUAGAGAGGAGGAUCAUAGACUACUGGAGAAUGGUAGAGAGGAGGAUCAUAGACUACUGGAGAAUGGUAGAGAGGAGGAUCAUAGACCACUGGAGAACGGUAGAGAGGAGGAUCACAGACCACUGGAGAACGGUAGAGAGGAGAACCAUAAACUACUUGAGAAUGGUAGAGAG